Molecule: long non-coding RNA, 692 nt
Organism: Ictalurus punctatus (channel catfish)
Lineage: Eukaryota; Metazoa; Chordata; Actinopteri; Siluriformes; Ictaluridae
Source: Ensembl
CUUAGACCCCUGUGUUCCAUGUUUGACUCACGUUGUUUAUGUCUCGACAAACUGCAUCAGAGGAAGGGGGAAAAAUCAUUUCUCACUAUAUCAUAUGAGGCCAGAAACAGCAAGCUCCACUCUGUCCAACAGACCACCAAACCAAAAAGCCCUAGGAACAGAUUGCAUCUGUCAAGGAAGAUGCCGUUGGUGCAGAUGUUGUUCCCCACAAAUUAUUUGAAGAGUCUCAAAAAGCAGUUUCGCUUUUACCAGGAAAAGCAGAAGGAUGUAACUCUUCAACUUGAGAAAACCCCAAAAAAAGUAAAGGAAUUGGUCCACAAAUGUCAUGUUGUUAAGAUUGUCUUGGGUGGGACUAUACACUUAAGGAAGGAAGUCUGGGAGAGACUCAAAUUGAGCACCAGACACUCUUUAUUCAUUAAAGAGCUGGUAGUUGCAGCCUGGCGGACCAAAACCCUUGGGGAGCGCAACCUUACAGGCAAUGAGUUUCCCACCACAAAAUCCCACCGACAUCCACUGACUACAAAAAAAGUGAACAUAGUAAAAGCCACCCUCCGUGAAUAUCUACAGCAGAAAAAUAUAGCAAAUGAAGAAUUGGAAGCCAGGGCCGCAAAGUCUGGCCAUUAUAUUACAGAAAGAUAAUGGACAUUAACAAACCAAAAAAAGAAAGCCAUGUGAAUGGUGGUAAUAUCCAG